Molecule: ribosomal RNA, 496 nt
Filed under: uncultured bacterium
Lineage: Bacteria
Description: partial 16S ribosomal RNA
Rfam family: Bacterial small subunit ribosomal RNA
Source: RNAcentral
AUUGAACGCUGGCGGAAUGCUUUACACAUGCAAGUCGAACGGUAGAGGGGGCAACCCCUUGAGAGUGGCGAACGGGUGAGUAAUAUAUCGGAACGUGCCCAGUCGUGGGGGAUAACGUAGUGAAAAUUACGCUAAUACCGCAUACGAUCUAAGGAUGAAAGCGGGGGAUCGCACGACCCCGCGCGAUUGGAGCGGCCGAUAUCAGAUUAGGUAGUUGGUAGGGUAAAGGCCUACCAAGCCAACGAUCUGUAGCUGGUCCGAGAGGACGACCAGCCACACUGGAACUGAGACACGGUCCAGACUCCUACGGGAGGCAGCAGUGGGGAAUUUUGGACAAUGGGCGAAAGCCUGAUCCAGCCAUUCCGCGUGCAGGAUGAAGGCCCUCGGGUUGUAAACUGCUUUUGUACAGAACGAAAAGGUCUCUAUUAAUACUAGGGGCUCAUGACGGUGCUGUAAGAAUAAGCACCGGCUAACUACGUGCCAGCCGCCGCAGUAA